UUCGCAGCCCAAAAUAAACCCGUCAAAGUUAUAUUUUUCACCUUACCUGGAGACUGGAACUCAGAACAGCCAGAUGCGAUUCAACUUCUGUGUAAUUGAAGCUCUCCACUUCUUUGAUUCUUCAGUUCCUCAUCAAUUCCGUAACGUUCCAUGUGAACUCUUCACUUCCUCCAACAUCAACAUAUAUUAAGUUACCAGCGUACAUUCCUGCACUCCAGUUCCCCACACCCAGUAAUGAAAACCAAUUGUAUCAAUGGCAAGCAAAAUCACAAAAUCAAGCACCAUAAGCUAUAAGUACUGUGAAAAAACACAAAAUGGAUGGAGCAAUCGUUUCUUCAGAACCUCCACACCAUGUCGUUAUCUUAUCUUGCGAGCACCAUCAAGAAGAGUUUGAGAGAUUUUCAAUUCCUCAAAAAGACGGAGAUCGUCGCGCCAAAACCGAUUGGUUUUCUCUGCAGCUUCAUCCCUCUUCUCGGAGGAAAGGUUUCUCUCCAACCUGACAUUUUCAAAAGACAAGAUACACUCAAAACACCUUCGCGGCUGAAAAUCUCUUAAGGGAAACAAGCCGUCAGUUCUCGACCAUUACUAUGCCGGCUGGUAAGAAAACUUCUCGGAAGAGGAAAUGUCUAAAUGAUGAUGAAUUGAUAAUUCCAAACAAUUAUGAAGGAAAUGACAGAAGACAUAAGUACAUUUGUCACAAAACUGAGAAAGGUUCCUCAUACUGACUAUUAUGAGAGAAGAAUCAAACGUUUUUCCGAUCAAUGGAAAUGUAUAAAACAGACAUGCUUGGAUAUUCCCACAUACAUUUCAAUAAACUACAUAUUAGCGUUUUACUUCUUCUCGGUUUCCUUUGUCUUUCAUGCAAACCUUUUUGUCUGAUUGUCUAAUAGAGGAGAGGCAAGAAGUUGUUACUGAAAAGGUUGUGUGCAACAAGCUCAAGUUCAUCACCAUUGUGAAAUGACUUGAACUGUUUGAUAAAACUCAGCAACGCGUCUAAAAUCCUUCGAAUGAAGUUGGCGCAUCAGUUGUCAAGGUACCUGAAAUAUUCAUUUCCUUCACUGAAGAUGGGAAGAACGUUCAAGCUGGUUGAUGAUCACCUAUGUCCUUGGUUUUUGGCAUGGCAGGUUCAUGGCCGGUUUCAUGUAGACGAGCUAGAAAUCUACUC
This is a long non-coding RNA of Brassica oleracea var. oleracea, 1165 nucleotides long. RefSeq lists it as uncharacterized. The record is from RefSeq and is a predicted model, not a curated record. Lineage: Eukaryota; Viridiplantae; Streptophyta; Magnoliopsida; Brassicales; Brassicaceae. The transcript is spliced from 7 exons.